UAGCGUCAUCGUUGGCAUCCAAAACGAAAGUGCCGCCAUUUUAGAAGGCCGUGGCGUUAUUUGGUCACGCUUUUUUGUCCACGAGAACGCUAAGUUUUUAAUCAAAACCUCGUUAAAUACGCGUUUUUAACCGAAAGUAAACCAAUUGUAACCUGUUCACUUAGAAUUCGGAGUGCGCGCCCGAAAAAUGAGUUACGGAAGACCCCCGCCGCGGAUUGACGGCAUGGUAUCGCUAAAAGUGGAUAAUUUAACUUAUAGAACGACCCCGGAGGAUUUAAGACGUGUUUUUGAACGCUGUGGGGAAGUUGGGGAUAUCUAUAUACCCAGGGAUCGAUUUACGAGGGAAAGUCGCGGGUUUGCUUUUGUCAGAUUUUAUGAUAAACGCGAUGCUGAAGAUGCAUUGGACGCUAUGGAUGGGCGUAUGUUGGAUGGAAGGGAGUUGAGGGUUCAAAUGGCUCGAUACGGGAGACCCACUUCGCCACAUCGAAGGUAUAGCCGAUCUAAUCGAAGGAGAUCUCGUUCGCGUUCAAGGAGACGUAGCCGAUCUCGUUCAUAUCGCAGAAGAUCGCCGAGUCGGAGUCGUUCCCGAUCUGAUAGUAAAAGCUCGAGGGGUCGAUCCAGGUCAAGGUCUAAAUCUGAGAAGAGAUCUGACAGCAAGUCACGAUCUAGAUCAAAAUCGUAGCUAAAAUAAGUGCAGUCCAUUUUUUCGAGGGUCUACCCACGGUUUAUCAAUCAAUAAAAUCGCUAAGGCGCAGUGCCUGGGUUGGCGUUGCGGUGCGCUGAGCGAGAGCAAGCAGUCUCGAGUAGCUGUGACGUGUGUAGCUGCCGUUGUUGCGGUGCUGUUUGCGGGUCGCAGAGAGUAAGGCCGGUUGGUAGAGAGAGAGCGGUUUUUGGUGCAGUUUGCGGUUCAGCUGCGGCAUGAUCCGGGUGGUUUCGAUCGGCUUAAAGGCCCCGUUUGUCUCUCUUAUAUCGAGGGAUGAUAAUCGGAGCUUCCGAUUAAAUCAUUUCUUCCGGUA
Onthophagus taurus is the source of this 1016-nucleotide RNA transcript. It is a transcript of the gene named SR family splicing factor SC35, with no coding region annotated. Lineage: Eukaryota; Metazoa; Arthropoda; Insecta; Coleoptera; Scarabaeidae. The record is from RefSeq and is a predicted model, not a curated record.